CGCCUGCCCGGUGCCGGAAGGUUAAUUGAUGGGGUUAGACUUCGGUCGAAGCUCUUGAUCGAAGCCCCGGUAAACGGCGGCCGUAACUAUAACGGUCCUAAGGUAGCGAAAUUCCUUGUCGGGUAAGUUCCGACCUGCACGAAUGGCGUAAUGAUGGCCACGCUGUCUCCACCCGAGACUCAGUGAAAUUGAAAUCGCUGUGAAGAUGCAGUGUACCCGCGGCUAGACGGAAAGACCCCGUGAACCUUUACUACAGCUUGGCACUGAACAUUGACCCUACAUGUGUAGGAUAGGUGGGAGGCUUUGAAGCACGUACGCCAGUAUGUGUGGAGCCGUCCUUGAAAUACCACCCUUGUAGUGUUGAUGUUCUAACGUCGACCCCUUAUCGGGGUUGCGGACAGUGCCUGGUGGGUAGUUUGACUGGGGCGGUCUCCUCCCAAAGAGUAACGGAGGAGCACGAAGGUGGGCUAAUCACGGUUGGACAUCGUGAGGUUAGUGCAAUGGCAUAAGCCCGCUUGACUGCGAGAAUGACAAUUCGAGCAGGUGCGAAAGCAGGUCAUAGUGAUCCGGUGGUUCUGAAUGGAAGGGCCAUCGCUCAACGGAUAAAAGGUACUCCGGGGAUAACAGGCUGAUACCGCCCAAGAGUUCAUAUCGACGGCGGUGUUUGGCACCUCGAUGUCGGCUCAUCACAUCCUGGGGCUGAAGUCGGUCCCAAGGGUAUGGCUGUUCGCCAUUUAAAGUGGUACGCGAGCUGGGUUUAGAACGUCGUGAGACAGUUCGGUCCCUAUCUGCCGUGGGCGUUGGAAGAUUGAAGGGGGCUGCUCCUAGUACGAGAGGACCGGAGUGGACGAACCUCUGGUGUUCGGGUUGUGUCGCCAGACGCAUUGCCCGGUAGCUAAGUUCGGAAUCGAUAACCGCUGAAAGCAUCUAAGCGGGAAGCGAGCCCUGAGAUGAGUCUUCCCUGAUACUUUAAGUAUCCUAAAGGGUUGUCGGAGACUACGACGUUGAUAGGUCAGGUGUGUAAGUGCUGUGAGGCAUUGAGCUAACUGAUACUAAUUGCCCGUGAGGCUUAACCAU
This 1077-nucleotide ribosomal RNA is filed under the name Vibrio parahaemolyticus. RNAcentral describes it as "partial 23S ribosomal RNA". It matches the Rfam family "Bacterial large subunit ribosomal RNA", at positions 1856 to 2925 of the family's 2925-position model. The record is from RNAcentral. RNAcentral also lists the same sequence under 1 other name. Lineage: Bacteria; Pseudomonadati; Pseudomonadota; Gammaproteobacteria; Vibrionales; Vibrionaceae.